Molecule: ribosomal RNA, 440 nt
Filed under: uncultured bacterium
Lineage: Bacteria
Description: partial 16S ribosomal RNA
Rfam family: Bacterial small subunit ribosomal RNA
Source: RNAcentral
CCUACGGGUGACAGCAGUAGGGAAUAUUGCUCAAUGGGGGAAACCCUGAAGCAGCAACGCCGCGUGGAGGAUGAAGGUUUUCGGAUCGUAAACUCCUGUUGUUAGAGAAGAUAAUGACGGUAUCUAACGAAUAAGCACCGGCUAACUCCGUGCCAGCAGCCGCGGUAAUACGGAGGGUGCAAGCGUUACUCGGAAUCACUGGGCGUAAAGAGCGCGGAGGCGGGAUAGCAAGUCAGAUGUGAAAUCCUAUGGCUCAACCAUAGAACUGCAUUUGAAACUGUUAUUCUAGAGUAUGGGAGAGGGAAGUGGAAUUCUUGGUGUAGGGGUAAAAUCCGGAGAGAUCAGGAGGAAUACUCAUUGCGAAGGCGACCUGCUAGAACAUAACUGACGCUGAUGCGCGAAAGCGUGGGGAGCAAACAGGAUUAGAUACCCGAGUAGUC